Molecule: ribosomal RNA, 253 nt
Filed under: uncultured bacterium
Lineage: Bacteria
Description: partial 16S ribosomal RNA
Rfam family: Bacterial small subunit ribosomal RNA
Source: RNAcentral
UACGGAGGUCCCAAGCGUUAUCCGGAUUUAUUGGGUUUAAAGGGUGCGUAGGCGGGCUAUUAAGUCAGUGGUGAAAGCCCCCGGCCUAACCGGGGAACUGCCAUUGAUACUGAUGGUCUUGAGUACAUUUGAGGUGGGCGGAAUGUGUCAUGUAGCGGUGAAAUGCUUAGAUAUGACACAGAACACCGAUUGCGAAGGCAGCUCACUAAACUGUAACUGACGCUGAGGCACGAAAGCGUGGGGAGCAAACAGG